UAGUAAGAAAAAAGUGAUAUUUUCUAGCUGUGAUUUUAGAAUAAUGCAACUAUUACAGCAGGCUUCUUUGGGUCACAAUCCCAUUUGAGAAUCGAAGGAAAACUAUGGACUACCUCCUCAGAAAAGCAGACAUCAGUAUAUACACCCAGAAUCUGCACUUUGCACUGGAAUCUGAUUUCUUCACACAGAUGUUCCUACCGUGAAAAAAAAGAGGUUUACCCAAACAUUUAGCUUAAAGUUCUCUGUGUCAUGAACAUUUCAAAGGGGCAGAAAAAAAUUGAAUAAAACCCCCUUCUGAGGCACAUUUAAGGACUUCAAACUAAGAACCUUGUAGUAUGGUAUUCUUAUUAAGAGCAUUCAUCAGUAGCAAAGUACAAUGUAUGGCUGCAAUUGUGUUGGAUAAACAAGGGAGAUAGAAAUGUAGUAGAAUUAUCUUAUUAAGCACUUUAGUCGAGCCUGUGGAGUGGGGUGGGGUGGGGGUGGGGGGACAUGUGGGAUGAAGCAUGGCCCAGGAUAAUUGUUAGAAGGAGUAUACUGGUACUUAUUAAGCUAUAACUUGCACUAAAUCUAGUUUGCUUUGUUUAGGUUACUAUAUUCAAAAGAACAAUACUUAGGUCACCGGUCUGAUGUUAGAAUGUAGAGUUGGCACUGCAAUUUUCAUGUAGCUAAAGUCUAGCUCUGUUUAGAUUGUGAAGGGGAGAUUCCCAGAGAGAACAUGCUGCGUUAACCAAAUCCGCAAAAAUUGGUUAAACUCUAGCUUAAUGGAAUAUGCAGAUAGCAGGAAUAAAAAGACUGUCCUCAGAGUUUCCUUCUGAAAACAGACUCUGUCACAAAAUCUACACAUUUUGAAAACAAUGUCUGUUCCGUCCCCCAGGACGAUGGUUUGCCUUACCUAUUGGUCGUUUGUUUGUUUUCCCGCCUUUGCAUUUUGUUUGAGCCUCUGGCUGCAAAAGCCUAGGAAAAAUGGCUUGGAAUCUGCAAGAGCUGGCUGCAGUUUUCUUUGCAGUGAUUGGUCAAAGAAUGCAACAUCUUAGGACCGCCCUUUUUACCAGGGUCUAGUCUCCAUUUUGGAGCUUCAUUCUGGCUAUAGUCUUACAACGUGCUGGAGCUGUGCAAGGCUAACUGGGACAAAUCAUCCUCAAAACCAGGCCAAUCUAAGCCUAUCCAAAUUAGAUAAGUAUUGAAUUAUAUUGAUCUGGAAUAGAAAAUCUAGUUAGAGGAGCAGGGUUAUUCUGUCGCUUCUAGAACUAAUCUUUGCUGUAAAGAUAGGGAAGGAAAGAGUUUCUCCUUCUAAUAUAGGCAGCGUGAUUAGGGUAUAGUGGUUUUAUAAUCACCUUUGCUUUCUGGAACCAGGGAUAAUUCUGUACCUAAAACCUAUAGAAAUUUGUUUCAUUUUCUGCAACUUUAAGAUCUGUGCCAGGUUUACAACCUUGUAUGAAUAAACAUCCUUUUUUGAAGUUAUCCAGACUCAGUCGUUCAAUAUCUAUAGGACAGCUUAUAGGGAUUUGCAGUUCGCCCGGAUAAAGGACAGCACGUUUCAGUUUUAUAGUUUUUAUUGUCCGGCGGACGGCACAGUUUUGAGGUCGAUCAGCGGUUUUUCCGCUUCAGCUAGCUUGCACGGCUUUAUAGUUUUUUAUAGUUUAGGAAGUUUUAGUAUAGGCUGCGGCUUUUCCGCCUGAGCUCAGUCUGCAUACCUAAAGACUCUACCAGCGUCUGAGGCAGUGGAGCCCGCUCUCAGACCUGAAGGAGUCAAAUAGUGGGGCUCUAUUUCCUUGCUAUUUGGCUCGCGUGUGCGCACGUAGCCCAGUGGCUUUCUGGGUUUGCACAGGCUGUGCAGUUCCCAGCAACGUCCAGGGCUCCCUCGGCGGUAGACCUCGAGCCGCGGAGCACCAGCGACAGUUCUUUGGCUGGCUCUGAGGCGUGGAGCCCACCAGAACCAGGCUAGAACCUGGACAGGCCUGGCAACGCUGCUGCGAGUUCGGCCGGAGCACUCAACCGGCUUUGACAGCCUCUUCAUCAGGAGUUCGGCCGGAGCACUCGGCCGGCUUUGACCUGCCUCAUGGUCCGGCGGUGGUGACCUGCCUCAUCGUCCUGCGGUGGUGACCUGCCUCAUCGUCCUGCGGUGGUGACCUGCCUCAUCGUCCUGCGGUGGUGACCUGCCUCAUCGUCCUGCGGUGGUGACCUGCUUCAUCGACCUGCGGUGGUGACCUCCCUUCACAGCGGGGAGGAGGCGUCUUUUCUCUCCUCCUUUCCAAAGCCAGCCUCGGUGCUCCUUCGGCGGCAGGCCUCGAGCCGCAGAGCACGAGGUGCUUGAAAAUUUGGCGAAGUCGCCAUUUUGGCAGUUUACGUCACUCGGGCAAGGGAGGUAUCAAGUGGCAAGUUGCUGUCAGUUGGCAUUUUGCAGCUUGCCCACUAAAAUCUGGCGCCAAAGGUCACAAUCUUUGUAAAGUAUAGUUACUUAGUGAUAUAUAUUGCUAUGGUUAAGUGUUGUGCAUUGUAUUAUAUAUUGCAUUUGCUUUUAUUGUAAAUUUACUUGCUGGUAUGUUGUAUUUGCUUUUGUUGUAAAUUUACUUGCUAUUAAGAAUGCAUAAUGUCUAUGCAAUUUCAAGAUGAUACAGAUGGUAUACCUCCUUCUGAGGCUGAAAUUAGGAAUGAAAGGCCCCAAAGGAUAAAGCACCCUUCAGCCAAGAUGCUAGCCCAUCUAAUAGAUGAAAAGGAGCUCCUCCAUGUGAGGUUAGGUUCGGCAUGGGAGCGAAUUGUAACAUUGAUGGACAGAAUUGAGAGCUUGGGUAUUACAAGGGUGCCAUCCAUAUUACAGACAGACCUUGAAGAGACCUUCGGUCUCUGGAGGGGUUUGGUGUCUAAGAUAGUCCAGGUCCUCGAGCGCAUUAACGCCAAGGAUUCAGAGUUAGAAAUAGUGAGUGUCUUAGCUGGCACUAAUGAGAAAGAAAAUAAGGUGAGGGCAAUUCUAGAUGCCUUGGAAUUUAGUUCUCCACCUGUUAAUCUAAGGUCUGAGCCAAAAGGAAAUCAGUCUUCCUUAUGCAGCCAUGAGACCAAUCUUUUAAAAUCACCUGCUGUGGCACUUAGUCUUAAGUCCAACCGCUCUAGCCAGGUAUCUAAACUAAGGGAGUGUGCAUCAUCUAAACAUAGCCACUCUAGCAAGUCUUCUGCUGCUGGGAGUGCCAUCUCUUCCCUAGCUGCCUUGCACAUUAAGGAGGCUGCACGUCUGGAGCUAAAGAGCAAGGUAGCGGGGGCGGAGGCUGAUGCUAAGGCAGCUGAUCUCACCCUUCCCUUUAAAGAAGAAGAGCAACGACUGCAAAGCAAAAUGCAAAUAGAACAGGCCCAAAGGCAAUGUGAAAUAGAAAUGCUUAGAAUAAAGAUGGAUGCCGCAGCCAAAAGGGUAAGGGCUGAGACUUUGGCCAAGGCCCUAAUUGAGCCACUCACAGAAGAAAAUGUAAGUCAGUUGCCGAAGCAGGACCCUUCUUCCAAGGUGCUUGUGCAUCUUAAUAGCUUAAACAGCCAGUUUUCGGAUGAGGAACAGGGAGACUUCUCUCCUUACCCAGAGCAGGGCCCCAAAGUCACUUUUGAGUUUCCUGCAGAGCAGAGCGUCAUAGCGGGGAGCUCACCCUUGCUCGAGCUACCUGUGCCUCCUGCUAAAACCCUAGGUCAGUCAAUCAGGGCCUCAAGGCCGAGUGCUAGUUGGCCCCUACAGACAGCUGCACAGGGAACCAUCGAUUCGUCAGUGGUCGAUGUCAUCCCUCCAAGAGACCAAAGGUUGACGCAAGGUACAUGGUGGGAGUCCACUCCACAACAGCAAACUCCUCAAUUGUUCCCUUCGACGCCAGAGUCCCAGCUUGUCUCCAUCAUCAGAAGCCCCAGAAGAGAUCUUAAGGACAAGGGUGUCGAAAAGUUUUCGGACAAGCCUGAGGAAUUUCUUCUCUGGAAGGCCACCUUCCAGAGAGCAAUCAGAGACUUAAAGUUAUUGCCUGAGGAAGAACUGACUCUUCUGGCUGCAUGGUUGGGCCCAGCCUCAUCCUCACAAGUUAAGAAGAUCUACGCAGCCCACGUAGCCGAUCCCGACAAAGCCCUGGAAAAGGCCUGGGCCAGGUUGCAGCAGAGGUAUGGGGCCAGCACAGAGAUUGAAGCAUCUCUUAUGGACAAGCUCCAAAGGUUCCCAGCUUUAAAACUCAAAGACUUCAAACUCUUGUGGGACCUUAGCGAUCUCCUUACGGAAUUAGAGUCGGCCAAGGAGAAUCCAGAACUGCCCGGUUUGAAGUGCCUCGAUCAGCACCUGUCCCAGAGGCAGAUCUUGACCAAGCUGCCCUUCACUUUGCAAGAACGCUGGGGACAGGAGGUCUUCAACUACAAGGAGGCCCACUCCCAGGCAUACCCUCCAUUUUCUCAUUUGGUCCAGUUCAUCACCAGGGCGGCCAGAGAAAGGAAUGAUCCGCAGACGGGCCUCCCCACCUUAUACCAAGGGACCCAGCCAGAGAAGGCACCUAAAGUGGAGAAAAAACCAUCCAGAGAGGCCAAAAGACCGGUUAGUGUUAAGGCUGUUGAAACUCAGCACAGGGCCAACGAAUCCAAGUCAGAGGUGAAGGAGGUGCUCUGCCCUAUCCACCAAAAGCCUCACAGCUUGGCCAACUGCAAGGAGUUUAGUAGAAAGUCAUACAAAGAAAGGCAACAGCUAGUUCAAAAGCAGGGAAUCUGCUUUAGAUGCUGUGGAGCAACUCCACACUUUGCGUCCAACUGCAAAGAAAACGUCAAGUGUGAGAAAUGCAACAGCCUCAAGCAUUGCACCGCAAUGCACAACUCCAGUGUCAUCUCCCACCCCAAAGGGAACGUUUCACCAAAAGAAAAGUCAGCAGUCGAAGACACCGACAAGCCAGUCGUACCAGAGAUGCAGGUGGAGGUUUCAGCAGUCGCCUGUACAGAGCUGUGUUCUGACUCGCACCAGUACAGAGUUUGUCAUCCUAUCUGCCUAGCGGAUGUAUAUCCAGCCAAGAGCCCUUGGCUUAGAAAGAGACUCUAUGUGGCCCUGGAUUCACAGAGCGACGCCUCCCUGGCUACUCCAGAGUUUUUCCGCAUGUUUGACCUUAAAACCAAGAUGGUUGACUACACUAUGACUACGUGUGCAGGAAAAAAGAAGUUGCAGGGUCGCAUAGCAUCUGGCUUUGUUGUCUCCUCUUGCGACCAGAAGAGGCAGUUCAAGUUGCCAGACCUGAUUGAGUGUUCCUCCAUCCCUCGGAACAAAAAACAAAUUGUAACUAGAGAAGUUGUGGAGGCUCAUCCACAUUUGCGACGAUUAAAGAAUGCCAUACCUGCUUUCUGUCCAGAUGUGGACAUUGCCCUUCUGCUUGGUGCGGACUGUCCGAACUUGUUCUAUGUGAACGACCAAGUUAAGGGACCUCCAGGGGCGCCCAUUGCUCAGCUGCUACCACUAGGCUGGACAGUUACAGGCCCAGUGUGCAUAAACAAGAUGCACCCACCAUCGUCGUUGGACUCCAAUCAAGCACAGGUGCUUAAAGGUGGACGUCCUACACUUGUGCGCAGUUGCCUAAGUCACAUCUCAGUCUACUGCCAAGCAAUAACGCCAGAGUAUUCCUCCAUUUUCAAAGUCUCUGAGAGAGACGAAGCCACAGCGCUCUCGAAAGAUGAGCAAAGGUUUUCGGACAUUAUGAAUGCUCAAGUCUCACGAAGUGCAGAGGUGAAAGCCUGCAAAUCAACCACAGAAAUCAAGAUGGGCCAAAGAUCUUGCCUGGAACCACACCGUUUUGAACGUUUUUCGGAGUGGCACAGUCUUCUUAGAGCAGUAGCUAGGCUUAUACAUCGUUUAGCUUGCAAAGAUAGUGAGCCUUUACAGGUCCAGGAUAUGAUAAAGGCUAAGAGCGUCAUAUUCAAGUCAGUGCAGAGAUCUGCUUUCAAGCAGGAAAUAGCUAGGCUAGAGCAAGGGCUCAACAUCCCUAAUCAAAGUCUUCUAAAUGAGUUAAACCCAUUUCUAGACAAGGAGGGUAUUUUGAGAGUUGGAGGAAGGUUAGCCAAAGCUAAACUCAAGGCGUGCAUAAAAAACCCCAUCAUCAUACCCCCUAAUAGUCACACUGCAUUGCUGCUCGUUCGGCAUCACCAUGAAAGGAUCCAUCAUCAGGGUAGAACUCUAACUGAGGCAGCCCUUAGAAAUGAAGGUCUGUGGGUAGUUAAUGCCAAAAGGUUGGUCAACAGUUGUAUUUUCAAAUGUGUUAAAUGCAGGCGCCUUAGGCGAAACUGUCAAAGUCAGUUGAUGGCAGAAUUACCUCAGGAUAGGACUUUGACAGACCCACCCUUUUCCCAUGUGGGAAUCGAUGUGUUUGGUCCUUGGGAGGUUGUCACUAGGAAAACCAGGGGUGGUGUUGUAAAUAACAAGAGGUGGGCAGUUUUGUUUACUUGUUUAGUAAUACGAGCUGUCCAUAUAGAAGUCAUAGAAGGGAUGGACACUUCAUCAUUUUUAAACGCAUUAAAAAGGUUCAUAGCCCUCAGAGGGCCAAUUAAGUCAAUUCGGUCGGACUGUGGCACCAAUUUUGUAGGUGCGACCAAAGAACUCAAUUGUGUGUCUAGGUUUGGGAGAGACCCAAAGGUUCAGAACUUUACGAAUACUGAACAAAUUAUGUGGACUUUCAAUGUUCCUCACGCCUCCCAUAUGGGUGGUGUUUGGGAGAGGAUGAUUGGUAUUAGUCGCAAAAUCCUUAAUGCCAUGCUUUUGAGUCAUAGGUCAUUGACGCAUGAUGUUUUGGUGACACUUAUGGCGGAAGUUACCGCAAUUAUCAACAACCGGCCGCUGGUUCCCCUUACCAGUGACCCUGAGAACUUACAACCACUGACUCCUGCACUUAUUUUGACACAAAAGGUGCCAGGAUGGAAGGACGUCAUGUUGCCAGUUCCGGACGGAACUCACCGUGCCCUGUGGAAACAGGUGCAGUCCUUGGCCAACCACUUUUGGAAAAGGUGGAAAGCUGAGUACUUAAGCCAGCUUCAAGCUAGAAGAAUCUGGCAAAGCCCACAGGACAACAUUGAGGUUAACAACGUUGUGUUGUUAAAGGACAAAGACUUGCCCCGCCAUGCAUGGCCCAUGGGCAUUGUAUUAAAGACCUUUCCUUGCCCGGAUGGUAAGGUCAGGAAAGUUCAAUUAAAGACUUGCAACAGAGACAAAGUGUCCAUUUUGGACAGACCAAUUAGUGACCUCGUGUUGCUUAUUGGAGAUGUUUAAAGUUCUAGUGUUUGUAUUGUUGUGUAUACAAAGGUGUUUGUAUGUUUUUGAUUGAUAAAUUCCCACAUCCUGGGAAUUUAGCGGGGAGUGUUCCGUCCCCCAGGACGAUGGUUUGCCUUACCUAUUGGUCGUUUGUUUGUUUUCCCGCCUUUGCAUUUUGUUUGAGCCUCUGGCUGCAAAAGCCUAGGAAAAAUGGCUUGGAAUUUGCAAGAGCUGGCUGCAGUUUUCUUUGCAGUGAUUGGUCAAAGAAUGCAACAUCUUAGGACCGCCCUUUUUACCAGGGUCUAGUCUCCAUUUUGGAGCUUCAUUCUGGCUAUAGUCUUACAACGUGCUGGAGCUGUGCAAGGCUAACUGGGACAAAUCAUCCUCAAAACCAGGCCAAUCUAAGCCUAUCCAAAUUAGAUAAGUAUUGAAUUAUAUUGAUCUGGAAUAGAAAAUCUAGUUAGAGGAGCAGGGUUAUUCUGUCGCUUCUAGAACUAAUCUUUGCUGUAAAGAUAGGGAAGGAAAGAGUUUCUCCUUCUAAUAUAGGCAGCGUGAUUAGGGUAUAGUGGUUUUAUAAUCACCUUUGCUUUCUGGAACCAGGGAUAAUUCUGUACCUAAAACCUAUAGAAAUUUGUUUCAUUUUCUGCAACUUUAAGAUCUGUGCCAGGUUUACAACCUUGUAUGAAUAAACAUCCUUUUUUGAAGUUAUCCAGACUCAGUCGUUCAAUAUCUAUAGGACAGCUUAUAGGGAUUUGCAGUUCGCCCGGAUAAAGGACAGCACGUUUCAGUUUUAUAGUUUUUAUUGUCCGGCGGACGGCACAAUGUCUCUUUAGUCAAUCUUCUGCUUCUACUUGUUUGUCUGGUCUCUGUUAUCUUAGUCAAAGAUGGCUCAUCCACUUGUGACCAGUCACCAUUUCCUUUCUUUUUACACUCUUCCCUUUUGUUCUUUUUUAGGCGGUUUAAGUGCCUCAUCAUUCUUGUCCCACCUCUUUGGAGCAGAUCUCCAAUUGCCUCAUUUUACACAUAGGAAAAUAAGGUUGAGAGACAGGCAUUUGAUCAGCCCUUGGGAAAUUAUGUCUUCUUUAGAAAGAGCCAUUUACCAAGCAUGAUCACUGACCAGGCUUGUCAGGGGAUUCUGGAACCUGUAGUCCAAAGUGCAACCCCCACCCCACACCUCUGCAUUUAACCAAGGUCAGCCAGAGAAUUCACAAUGAUUAAACCAUCUUUUGAACACAACCCAGAUCUUCCUCUGAACUACAAGCCACAAACCACCCCCUCACUUCCCACCCUCAUGUUUAUGUCAUCUUGAGCAAAUGAGAAUCCUUAGGCAAAGCUAGAUGUUGAUUUUCUUCUUUGAAAGCAUUUCGGGGACUGCUAUAAACAAAUGAAUUGUAUAUGCGGCAUCAUGUUUGCUCCCAAUUUAUAUGUGGAUGUGUCAGGCAGAUUACUCUGCACCAAAUGUUUUCAGUUCCUUGCACAUCCUGAAAUUAGUAUGCUGUAGCAGUGCCUGCUUUUCUCCAGCAUGUUGUUCCUCCUGUUUUCCUAUGUAAACAUCCCAUAAUUAGUACUAAUCUAGCAGGCUGUCAUCAGCCUCCUCUGCCAGUCACCUAUGGGACAAAUUCCCCCUCAGGUCUUUGCUUUUCUAGCUCUUUUCCACCACCCUCCACGCUGAAUGCAUGCAUUUCUCAUCUUCUUGCUUUGAUUUCCUCCCCAAAAUAUUUGGCCUGCUGCCACUUUCUUCUCUGUUACAUGUUCUAGGGAACUAGUCCCCCAAGUGUCAUUUUAACUCAGCUAUAGAGGUCAUGUUGCUGGCACAGUUUGGGCAAUCAUACCAUAUCCCUCAAUAUGGGGAAAUUAAAAAUAAAAACCGGAUUCAACAAGCUUGCCAUAGGGAAGAUCAGGAGCAUGAAUUCUAUCUUUCUAUGUCUGAGCAUAUCCCUGUAUUUGGCCUGCCCUCCUCACCACCCAUAGACUAUGGCCCCUUCUACACUGCCAUAUAAAAUCCAGAUUAUCUCCUCUGAACUGUAUUAUAUGGCAGUGGAGACUCAGAUAAUCCAGUUCAAAGCAGAUAAUGUGGAUUAUCUGUUUUGAUAAUUUGAUUACAUGGCAAUGUAGAAAGGGCCUAAAUCAGUGGGAGCUAUGCACCUCUAUAAAUGCUAUAAUUUUCAGCAUUCCUCAUAAUUAUACCGAGAGAUGCCUUUUCUGGCUAUAUCACUGGAUUGAUGCUGCGGGGGCAUUGAAAACAUGUAAGGGUCUGUAUUUUUCCAUACAAUAGUGAAAACAGGAAUAUGUGUAUGGAGGAGGACUGGAGGUUAGAAUGUAGUGAGAAAAUAGCACAAGCGGGAAAGGAGUAAGGUUUUCAUCUUCCCUCCCAUCAAUCUUGCCUUUCAAACAGGAGCCUCAGCAGCUAAAUUUCAUGGAAAGGUUUUUUUCUUAAUAUGACCAGUAUUCUAUAAAUUGCCCUGCUGGAAUCUAGUGCAUAGUAGACUACGGUAUUAUUUCUCUUGAGACCAUUUGUCAUAGUAUUGGAAGAAACAAGAUAAACUGUUGGUUCUGGAGCAUUGAUUUCAUAAGACGAGGAAAGCAUGUCACCUCUCCUCUACUUGGCAGGUUUGGGAAUGCCAAAGAGUUUUGCAAGUGUUCUCUUUUCUAAACACAUUAUGCUAACUUUAGAAGGAGUAAAUGCUUGCAAUAUGCUUAAAUGUAUAGCUAGCCUUUCUCGUUAUAACAAGGUGUGCAGGGGAUGUUAACAUUUUAGUUUCUACAAUAGAAGCACUACACAAUUAUAACAUUAUAAUUUCGCUCUAAUUGCACUGGUUCCAUCCUAUGGAAUCCUAGGAGCUGCAGUUUAGAGAAGAGUGCAGAGGGCCCUUCCAUAGUCAUAAAACCCACAAUAAUUCACAAUAUCUGCUUUAAACUGGGUUAUCUGAAUCCACACUGCCAUAUAAUCAAGUUCAUUGUGGAUUUUAUACAGCUCUGUGGAAGGGGCCUUACAAUCCUCUUCCAGAGAAUUUAAGUAUCUCACCAAACUACAAAACCAGGAUUUCAUGGGAUGUUUCCAGAGCAGAUAAAGAAGCUAAAAAAGAAUCAUAGUGCUGUGGUUAUAUAGUGUAAAUAUAACAAAUGAUUUGCCUAAGGAAAUCCAGUAAAUGACAGAUUGGAUGGAAACUAUCAGAACUCAGAAAAAAUAUUUAUGAUGGCUUUGAUUCUCAGAACUUGCCCAGCCAGUAUGGCCAAUGAAUGUCAUGGCUGGGGAAUUCUCUUAGUUAUAGACUUAAAAUGGGCCUUUUCCAAAACUUGGUGGUGACCCUUGUGAAAGCAUAAACAGGCCUUCCUGUUAUUAUGGUGGCUGUUAAGAGAUACAUCAUAGUUAUCUGUCAUAACUUUGUGUGGGUGUUUGGAAUGGAUAAUUAUGGAUCCAGAAUUAGGUGUACAGUGUCCACCAGGCAAUUGGUGGCUUUUGGAGCAGAUCUUGCCCCUUGUUUGGGAGUCUUCCAGACUGGUCUCUUAUUUUAUUCCUAAGAGAUCUGACAGCAAGCUGGAUCUGCAGACUCAUCGAUCAACAGCCAGGUUGGUCAAUGCCUAGGUCCAGACCCAUAUAUGAGCCAAUCCUGUCUACAACUGUAGCCAAAUAAAGAACUUCAGAGCCACAAGUGCUGUUGGAUUGCAAUUCCCAUUAUCCCCAGUCCACAAUUCAGAAAAUCAAAAGUAAUGGUGAAAUCGAGCCAUUUAAGGCAGUUGUGAAUAGUGAGAUCCGGACCACAGAUAGCAAUACCCACACCACAGAUACCAAGCCCAGUUAAGCAAAUAAUUGGCACCGGUCACUGGCUGCCUGUGGAUCCGUGCCUGGUGAGACAAAGACGCUAUAGCCCAAUGUUCCCCAAUCAAGAAGUCUCACCAGUUGAAGAAGAAGCCAAUGAGGUAUUUUAUUCAAUCCAGCUGGAAAGGAUGAUAGCUCGUAGUAAGCCACUAAAGGAAGCUGAGACCCUUGGUACAGACAAAACAUACUUUUUAUGCAGAGGAAUAUUUGGUUUUUCCUGCUCACACCCUAGCUGGAGCUGGCUUCAUGCUGAUUGGCAGAUCUGCUCUUGACGUCAUGGCCAGCUGGAAGGAUUCCUUUUGAGAGGUGGGACUGUUGUGCUCGCCAGCCAAUCAAGGAGCGUUCCCCGCUUCCAAUGCAGAUUCCUGCUCUCCAAUGGCUGAUGGGGCAGGAUGACUCGGGAGACAAAAGAGUGUACGGUUUUGUGAAUGAAUCACCUUGUCUCACUUUUGAGAUGAAAAAAAGCAGGACAAUCAGGUCUCUGAUGGUUAUGGGAUUGUUUCUUUGUGUUGUGAUUGACCCAUCAAGGUGGGUCAGGCACCCACAGUGCCCAUGUCCAUUGUAGUCCAUAUCAGAGUAUUGUCCAAAGUGAUGGGAUUAGAGAAGAGGGAAGAUAGAAUGUAUCCACGGUGCUGGAAGCUGCUGCUAAGUUCUGCCGUACCUCCGGAUGUUUGCAUAAUUGAUUCUAGUGAGGCUCCGAGCUCCUGCUCUCCACGACUCUCUCCACUGUGGCUUCCUAUAAUACUUCAUGAUUAAUUUGACAUGUGUGUAUGACGCUCAACCUCAAUGGGGGUUGUCAUUCAAUAACACCUGGGGAUCCAAAAUGGGUAAAAACUAAAGAGCUAUGUAAAAAAAUGAUCGUAUCCACAGAUCUUCUGUCCAUUCUAUGGCCCUUUGAAGGCAACCAUAAGCUUGAUGUGGCCCUGGAUGGAAACAAUUUUGACACUUCUGCUCUAAGUCACAGACAAAAAGAGAAGAAAAUCUGACAAUCUUUUGUCCCCUGGAAAGCAGGGCACAUGACAACCUGAGCUACAAAGGGAGAAGUCUAGAGAAGAGAAUUUUAGGGAGGGCAGCCAGGAUACCUGCAGGAUGCAAGCGAGGUCAUUUUGAAAAUCAUAUUUGGCCUUGGGUGUUACUUGUUGUUUACAGUAGUGCAACCAUUAGCCUUUGACCGAGAACAUGUUGACACAUGCCUGAGGAUCAUCCGGUUGAACCUUCUGCAUGAGGCCAUGCUACACCUGACAAUACUGAAAAAAUGUUUUUUAAUUUGCCUAUUACAAGUUUAUAAUGAAAGACAUGAACGCACAAAAUCCCAACUUCUAGAAUCUCCCUGCCAGCAAGGCCAUUGUAGCUAGCUCAGGCAUGGGCAAACUUCAACCCUCCAGGUGUUUGGAUUUCAACUCCCACAAUUCCUAACAGCCAGUAAUCCAAAACACCCGGAGGAUUGAAGUUUUCCCAUGCCUGAGCUAGACAGAUGGGAGAAUUCUGGAAAUUGAAGUCCUUUACCACAAUUUUUCCAUUCCCUGAAUCAAGAAUGCAUGAGCAGUGAUUCCCAAGGCUUGUUUUCUUUUCUCUAUUUGAGAAAUACUGAGGACAUGGUAUCAUGUACAAAAUAUGUACUCUAAAGAAAUGAACCCACUGUUGUGUUGGCUAGGUAAUCUAGUCUGUCUUCAUACUUUAAAGUUUUGCUUAAAAAAAUAAAACCACUUCCUUCUCUUGCUUAUGGAAUAAUAUAGAGCUUUUCUGCCAGGGGAAAAUCUUCUGUUUUCUGCCUACAAAAAGGAAUAAACCUUGACAUUACAGAUUAAUUAUCAGUUCAUAUAGCCUCAUUGUGUAAUAAGUUUUAAUGGUUUAUUGUAAUUAUAAUUAACAUUGCCUUAAGACCUAUCUGUCAAACAUUAAAACAAGGAAUUAAACCAAGGCAUUAAAACCAAACAGUUCAUGUUCUUAAAUCAGUUACCUAUCCAUAGAUUACUUUAUCCCAUGACUGCUAUCUGUACUCAGGAAUAUUUGAAAAGGAACUAUGGCCCCACCUACACUGCGGUAUAAUCCAGUUUCUGAAUGCAGAUUAACUGCAUUGAACUAGAUUAUCAUCAUUAGCUUUUGAUCUAUGUUAAUUUUAUCAAUAGUUGUAUGUAUUUUUAUCCUUUACAAUUUAGCUUGUAAAUUGCCUAGAGCAUCUUGGAUGGAGGGCGAUUAAUAAGUAAUUAAAUAAUGAUGAUGAUGAUGAUAUCCCCAUCAUCAUAGGCAAUCACUAUGUUCUGCAGGUGCAUAAUAGAGUUAGAAGAACAAUAGCUUUAUAAACAAGCAUCUUGGUAUCCCUAUAAAUGUCCUGAUCCUCAAACCCUCUCUGCUUCAUUUGGAAAAAAUGCUGCACUCGCAAAGCUUAGACAGUGUUGUAUUUCAGCAUUGAUACCAACCUUUAUGGAGAGGUGUCUGCUUAGCAGAAAUGGAGAAUGUUUUCUAGUUUUACACCAUUAAUUUUUAUUGCUGGCAUUGCAGAAGGAUUGGUUGGUGCCUGCUGGUAGAGCACUUAACAGUGGAUUAUUGUUUUGCUGAUGGUUAACAUGAUAGUCAGUGGUCUCUCAUCUGUUGCAGCCUUCUUCACCUUCACAGUCGUUGUAACAUGCACCAUAUUAUCAUCCGCGUGCUCCACCAUUGAGGUCUUUGGACUGGUCUUCAUUUGGUUCCUCCCCUAUUACCCUGCCUCCUUGAGAUACCCCUCUGUGAGUACUUGAUUCUAAGAGCUUCACCCAUAGGUUCACUGGAAUACACAAGCCCCUGCACCACAACAAGGUGACGAUCCAUGAGGGGGAGUCCAAGACUCAACUCACGAUGUCACACAAUCUAAUCUCACUGUGGAGGGAGUUCCACAGCUGAGGGGCCACCACCAAGAAGGCCUGUCUCUCGUCUCCACCAAUCGCACCUGCGACAGUGGCGGGACCGAGAGCAGGAUCUCCCCAGCUUAUUUUAAUGCUCUAACUCUAACAUAAAAGGAGAUGCAUUCGGAUAGGUAAGCUGGACUGGAACCAUUUAGGAAUUUAAAGGCUAAAGCCAACACUUGUGCUCUGUAGCAGAUUUACAGCCAGUGGAGCUGACGCAACGAAGGGGGGGUGUUAAAAUAAUAUAAAACCAUAUGGGGGGGGGGGGAUUUCCCAGACACCAGUGUGUGCAAAAAUCCAUUUGUCAACUUUACAUAAAACUCACAUGUUGUUCAUGUCAAAACAUGAAGAUCUUAUUGAAAUUCAGUGUACCUCUGUUUUAAAAACAAAUUUUUAAUCUGUGUCACUGAAUGACUUUUGGGUAGGACUGAUGGAUAAAGCCAUCAGUAGCUAGAAAUGCAGUCAAAGCCUUGUUCCCUAUCAUAUUCACCUAUUGAUUCAAAUCAGGCUUUAUGCUUACAUAAAAAACAAAUAUAGGAGUAAGUUGGAUACCACCCACAUAUUCAGCUGUCAGGCAGAAAGCUCAAUUUUUAAAAAUUAUUUUAAAUACAAAAUCCAAAUACAAAAUUUCAUUGCUCCAAUAUUUUCUUGUAUCAAAAUAAAUGUUUGUGGUUACAUCCAAUAUUUUCUUGUAUCGAAAUAAAGGGUUGGGGUUAUAUUUGAAAUGUUUUCUUUUUAUUUCCAAACCUAGGUAAAGGUAAAGGUUUCCCCUGAAAUUAAGUCUAGUCAUGUCUGACUCUGGGGGUUGGUGUUCAUCUCCAUUUCUAAACCAAAAAGCCAGCAUUGUCCAUAGACACCUCCAAGGUCAUGUGGGCAGCAUGACUGCAUGGAGCAGUGUUACCUUCCUGCAGAAGCGGCACCUAUUGAUCUACUCAUAUUUGCAUAUUUUCGAACUGCUAGGUUGGCAGAACCUGGGCCUAAUAGCGGGAACUCACUCCCUGGAUUUGAACCACCAACCUUUCAGUCAGCAAGCUCAGCAGCUCAGCGGUUUACCCCACUAUGCCACCGGGGACUCCAUUUCCAAACCUACUACGUUAUAUAAAACACUCAGGGAAUAUGAGUAGACGAAAGAAGGAUGAACUUUGUAGAUCCACAAUGCUUAGUUUAAAAAAUCAGGGUAAAAUUAUUCCUCCCAUUUAUUCUCCAAUCCAAAUUGUGACUGGAAUUUACAUUAUGCUUCUCCCUACCACCAUUCUGCACAAGGGUUGUGAGAGGAAUUGGUGCUGGCCCCCCAUGACAAUCUCCCACCCCCUACAUUACAUUGAUGAUAUUCCUGACUGGGUUAAACCCUUGUGCCAGCUGGACUGCAGACUUGAAGGUUGCUGGUUCGAAUCUGCGAGAUGGGGUGAGCUCUCAUCUGUCAGCUCUAGCUUGCGGGAACAUGAGAGAAGCCUCCCAGCAGGAGAAGCCUCCCAGGCAUCCCCUAGGCAACGUCUCUGUAGACAGCCAAUUCUCUAACACCAGAAGCGAUUUGCAGUAUAUUCCCAAGUCACUUCUGAUACGAUAAAAAAAAUCCUAAAUAUAAGUCAUAAUGCCACCCAAUAGCCUAGAAGGUAGCAAGGCUCCUUUUAUGAAGGAACACAGCUUUUAAAAAACUGAUUCACCCUGAAGCCCCCACUCACCCACCCUCCUGUGCCCAAGACCUUCCUAAAAGCUUUUUAGAAAGUUACAAGCGGAAGUAUUCAGCUGCCUGCAAUGUUUGGUUUGACCUUUCUUUUAUUCUAGAGGCUGCCAGCUUUUUGCUGAAAAAAAGAAGAGGACAAAAGCCAGGGAAAGAAAGUCUAUUGCAAUCAGAGCUUGUACUGCGGUUUAUCUCCACAUAAUCGGCUUCCUGGCUGAGCUGCUGCAAAAUGCCUUGGUUGCCCUCUGUUGAAUCCUUUUCAUCCCUGCAAUUCAGGGAUCCUUUGAAAAGGAAAGAAAGAGAGAUUUUGAACCACUUGGGGAGGAGGAGCAGUUCCUUCUAAGUCAGGAAAAAAUAUGGAUGUGGAUCCCAAAUGGAACUUUGAAAAAGGAGAUGGAGGGCCUGAUUCUUGCAGCCCAAGAACAAGCAAUUAGAUCAAAUGCCAUCAAAGCCAGAAUUGAAAAGACAACUACGAUUCCAAGUGUAGACUCUGCAAAGACUGCUUUGGAUCACAUCCUCAGCUUCUGCAAGAAGACCGUGCAGACAGACUAUAAACAGAGGUAUAAUACUGUUGCUCAGAUGAUCCACUGGAACUUGUGCCACAAAUACCAUCUGCCUGUGACAAAAAACUGGUGGAAUCACAAGCCUGAAAAUGUUACACAAAAUGAACACGUCAAAAUACUCUGGGAUUUCUGAAUUCAGACUGACAGAGUUUUGGAGCACAUUACUCCUGAUCUUAUGAUUGUGGGGAAAAAAAUGAAGUAUGGAUUGUCGAAGUUGCAAUCCCAGGUGACAGCAGAAUUGAGGAGAAGCAACUGGAAAAGCUUACACGAUAUGAGGAUUUAAAGAUAGAACUGCAAAGACCACGGCCAGUAAAGCCAGUGGUCCCAGUGGUGAUCCCAGUGCCGAAAGACCUUGGCCUGUACUUAACAACAAUCCGCGCUGAAAAAACGACCAUCUGUCAGCUGCAAAAGGCCACCCUACUCGGAUCUGUAAGCAUUAUUCGCCGAUACAUCACACUGUCUUGGACACUUGGGAAGUGUCUGACAUGUGAUUGAAUACAAAAGCCAGCAUAGUGAUCUUGCUUGCUGUGUACUAAUCUUGUUGUGUAUCAAAUAAUGAUAAUAACAAUUUAUUUGUUAUGAGCCUCAUUGCAUGGCUUGACACAGUUAAAAGACAUCACCGUAAAAUACUGUGAUGUGCUCUGAUUAAAAAGGAGGCAUUCAGUAUCACAAACUUGCUGAAAUACACAGGGACUCAAAGCCAGAUUUCUAAGAGGCAAACCCUUAAAGCUCUCUGCGUGCAGAGAGGAAUCUCUAAGUUCUGCUUCUUCCCAAAUUUUAAUUUAUAAAUUAUCAAUUAGGAAUUGUUUGUCAUUACUUGGUGCCAAGUGGGGUUUGCCUUAUGGAGACCCUGAAAACCAGAGUCCAGAAUCAAAUCAUUUGUAAUAUCUUCUGUUCCUACUGCCUUCCAUUUUACUGAUUGUUGUCAUGCUUUGUAAUUAAUCUUGUUGUCUCAUGAUGUGUCCAAUGUAUAAUAGCCCCAAUUUAGACAUUUUGCCUGUAGGGAGGGCUCCGGCUUGAUUUUCGCUAGGAUCCAUUUAUUGGUCUUUUUCACAGUCUAUUAUGCCUGGAAUACUCUUCUCCAGCACAACAUGUCAAAUGAAUUGAUUUUCUUCCUGUCAGCUUUAUUUACUGUCUAGCUUUCACAGCCACACGCGGAAACUGGAAAUGCUAUGUCAGAUAUGAUUCUGAUGUUGGUGUUGGAUAAUACAUCUGUGUCCUUGACGAUGUUAUCUAAUUUCUUAUAGUCUCCAUUUUGGUUAAUGACUGAGCCAAAGUAUAGGAAAUCUUUAAUGUAUUUCAGUGUCCUCAUUGCUCACUGUGAAUUUGCAGAUGUUGAUCAAAUCUUAUCAAAUAUGAACUGAAAUGAAAUUCUUACGCUUCCCAUAUUACCUUCAGAUCAUGCGUGCAAGAAGUUGCCAUUAUUUUGUAAUAUGACAAGCUAAUAUUAAGCAGACACAUCUCAUAAAGUGCUAUGCAGAACCAUUUUGUCAUCCCCCCCCCCCCCCCCCCCAUCCUGGUUGCACCAGAAGUCAGUAAUUCAUGCCUUUGGGCUAUUUCUUUGCAACUCAUUUCAAAGGCAUCUCUUCUUACUGACUUGGAAGAAAUUCAUCUGAAUCCCAUUAAGUCAGCAGAAACCCUUCUCUCCGUCCCACUGGGUCUCCAAAGAGGUCAUGAACCCUAUCUGUUUGUUCCAUUUCUUCCCCUCAUCAGGUGGCAAUUUUGUUCAAUGAUUUAUUAUAAGCCACAUGCAUUUAUCCAGCAUGACAUUUCAAUCAUGCAAAUAAGGAUUUUGCUAAUGAAUUGGAAAUUAAUUUGGCGUCUGCCGCUGUGUACACAUUGACAGUUUUGCUAAUGUUAUUACACUUGUAAUAUGGUCAGUGGCUUCUUCGUAAUUGCUAUAAAGUGUUGCAUUUAACACUUAGAAUAAAGGUUACAUCAAAGGAAAAAAAACCCA
Molecule: long non-coding RNA, 18125 nt
Organism: Anolis carolinensis (green anole)
Lineage: Eukaryota; Metazoa; Chordata; Lepidosauria; Squamata; Anolidae
Exons: 3
Source: RefSeq, a predicted model, not a curated record